CUGAGCGAUUGAUUGAUUGGUUGAUUGACUGAUGAAGGAUUAAUCAUUUACAACAAGAUCUACUCAGGGGACCCUUAGAUUAAAAUAAUAACAACAACAACAACAACAACAACAACAGCAAACCUCAAAUGGAAAACUCUCAGGAAAUAUUCCGUUAGAAGUGUUUUAUAAGCUCGAGCAGCGCAGUCAGCCAAAUAAUUGCUAGCACCAAUUCACACACACAAACGCACACAUAUAUGCCAACAAAGAAACACCAACACAUGUAUGCAGAGUGACAGAGGGAGAGUUAAAUAAUAAUUAAGUG
This is a long non-coding RNA of Drosophila willistoni, 304 nucleotides long. RefSeq lists it as uncharacterized. Lineage: Eukaryota; Metazoa; Arthropoda; Insecta; Diptera; Drosophilidae. The transcript has 4 exons. The record is from RefSeq and is a predicted model, not a curated record.